AUAUCGUGUGCUGGAGGUCAGG
Molecule: microRNA, 22 nt
Filed under: Brugia malayi
Lineage: Eukaryota; Metazoa; Nematoda; Chromadorea; Rhabditida; Onchocercidae
Also listed under: 1 other name
Description: bma-miR-5862-5p
Source: miRBase by way of RNAcentral